ACUUCGGUGACCUCAGUGAUUAGAGCGUCCGCCUCGAAUGUGGAAGGUUGCGAGUUCGAACCCUGGCCGAAUCA
Potamilus streckersoni is the source of this 74-nucleotide non-coding RNA. The record is from the annotation of a GenBank genome assembly. NCBI's taxonomy places the organism in Eukaryota, Metazoa, Mollusca, Bivalvia, Unionida, Unionidae.